RNAcentral lists this ribosomal RNA (200 nucleotides) under uncultured bacterium. RNAcentral describes it as "partial 16S ribosomal RNA". It matches the Rfam family "Bacterial small subunit ribosomal RNA", at positions 8 to 220 of the family's 1533-position model. The record is from RNAcentral.
AGAGUUUGAUCAUGGCUCAGAACGAACGCUGGCGGCAUGCCUAACACAUGCAAGUCGAACGCCUGUAGCAAUACAGGAGUGGCGCACGGGUGAGUAACGCGUGGGAACCUGCCCUGGAGUGGGGGAUAGCCCGGCGAAAGCCGGAUUAAUACCGCAUACGAUCUGCGGAUGAAAGCGGGGGAUCUUCGGACCUCGCGCUA